CGGGACAAAUGCCACACCCGUCGCGAGGCGGGGCCGGAAAGCCACGGAUCUUGUUGCCCUCGCCUGAGGCCACCAAGACGGCCGGGUUGCCAAA
Molecule: non-coding RNA, 94 nt
Filed under: Immundisolibacter cernigliae
Lineage: Bacteria; Pseudomonadati; Pseudomonadota; Gammaproteobacteria; Immundisolibacterales; Immundisolibacteraceae
Description: c-di-GMP sequence
Rfam family: c-di-GMP-I riboswitch aptamer
About the family: GEMM was predicted in a large-scale screen for bacterial structured RNA regulatory elements. Genes associated with GEMM are involved in a diverse array of functions, including chemotaxis regulation, signal transduction, secretion and chitin.
Source: Rfam by way of RNAcentral